UUUGACAAUGACGAGUUGCACUAACAGUGGGGUGCUGAUUGCUGUGUGACAGCACACCGCUCUGACCACCUGAGGAGACACCAACGGUGCACAGGGGCCAUCUGAGUCAAA
Small nucleolar RNA from Synchiropus splendidus (mandarinfish), 111 nucleotides. RefSeq annotates it as small nucleolar RNA SNORD67. The record is from RefSeq and is a predicted model, not a curated record. The transcript has a single exon. Lineage: Eukaryota; Metazoa; Chordata; Actinopteri; Syngnathiformes; Callionymidae.